GACGUAGGGGGACGAGCGUUUGUCCGGAUUCAUUGGGGCGUAAAGCGCGCGUAGGCGGUUUGGUAAGUCGGAUGUGAAAACCCGAGGCUCAACCUCGGGCCUACAGUCGAUACGGGCAAACUAGAGUACUGCAGGGGGAGACUGGAAUUCCUGGUGUAGCGGUGAAAUGCGCAGAUAUCAGGAGGAACACCGGUGGCGAAGGCGCCACUCUGGGCCGAAACUGACGCUGAGGAGCGAAAGCGUGGGUAGCAAACAGG
RNAcentral lists this ribosomal RNA (257 nucleotides) under uncultured bacterium. RNAcentral describes it as "partial 16S ribosomal RNA". It matches the Rfam family "Bacterial small subunit ribosomal RNA", at positions 524 to 776 of the family's 1533-position model. The record is from RNAcentral.